RNAcentral lists this unclassified non-coding RNA (220 nucleotides) under Hevea brasiliensis (rubber tree). Lineage: Eukaryota; Viridiplantae; Streptophyta; Magnoliopsida; Malpighiales; Euphorbiaceae. The record is from RNAcentral.
GCCCCUUUUUUCUUCUUCUCCUCUCUUUUUCUCCUUCUGCCCUUCUCUCUGGCUUCCUUCUGAAAAAGUUAUCUAACAGUGAAAGAAAUUGAAAAGGAUAGCUUUUCUGCUUUCUUUCUUUCGAAUACUUUCCGGUUUUGAAUUGCUUUGUAAUCGUUAAUUUAUUUUAAUUUUUGGCAAUUUAGCGCCAUGUCACUGCGGAGGCGUACCUUGCUCAAGG